Lagopus leucura (white-tailed ptarmigan) is the source of this 790-nucleotide long non-coding RNA. RefSeq lists it as uncharacterized. The transcript has 3 exons. The record is from RefSeq and is a predicted model, not a curated record. Lineage: Eukaryota; Metazoa; Chordata; Aves; Galliformes; Phasianidae.
UUGGGGAAGGUGGAAUUUCAGCUCCUCUGCUUUGCAAAAGCGGUGCAGGCUGCAAAGUGUGUGAAGUUUUCUCAUCAAAUACGGCUGGAAGGGCAGAAACUUCACGAUUGAGUUUGGCAAGUGAAUUUUGUGUACAAGUUCAUUUUCCCACCCAGUGUUGCUUUUGGGAUACCAAGGAGAGGCUGGGGCAAUGCUGGUGAUACUGUCUGCCUUCUGCAGCCCCUGGCUUGUUGUGGGUAGCUCUGGGAGAAAGAAGAAGCCAUUGUUUGUUUGGGGACUGCUUCAGGAAAGGAUCUGUACAUCUAUCUGCAGCUGCUGCAGAUCAGCUAAUAAAAGGAUCCCUCCUUUCAGUGAACUUUCCCUGGACUGCUACAGAAAAGAUUCUGUCCUACUUAAGAACACUAUCUCUGGGCGGUAGGCACGGGUAGCCUUGUCCUUGCAAAUAACUUUCCCAACCCACAAACUCAACCUCAUGAUGUACUUGUGUUGAAACGGGGCUCUGUGUACAGAGCAAUCCUCAGAUAAUGGCUCAGUUCAUAAGGGAAAGCAUCAUGAGCUCCAGGCUUGGACCGCAGUGCCAGGAUAACUCUUCUUUUUGCCCCCUCUCUUUUCUAUGGCUGCUCCAGCAUGUGACUAUGGUGAGCUGACCUCAGCUGGCUGCCAGGUGCCCACCCAGACUCAGAGGGAAACAUAAGAUGCAAAAAAGCUUGUAUGUCAAGAUAGAGAGGGAGAUUGCUUGCCAGUUACUGGCACUGGCAAAUCUAUCUUGACUUGAGGAAAAUUAAUUUAA